RNAcentral lists this ribosomal RNA (407 nucleotides) under Verrucomicrobiota bacterium. Its description in RNAcentral is "Verrucomicrobia bacterium partial 16S ribosomal RNA". It matches the Rfam family "Bacterial small subunit ribosomal RNA", at positions 355 to 776 of the family's 1533-position model. The record is from RNAcentral. Lineage: Bacteria; Pseudomonadati; Verrucomicrobiota.
UGGGGAAUAUUGGACAAUGGAGGAAACUCUGAUCCAGCAAUUCUGUGUGUGUGAAGAAGGUUUUAGGACUGUAAAACACUUUUAGUAGGGAAGAAAAAAAUGACGGUACCUACAGAAGAAGCAACGGCUAAAUACGUGCCAGCAGCCGCGGUAAUACGUAUGUUGCGAGCGUUAUCCGGAAUUAUUGGGCUUAAAGGGCAUCUAGGCGGUAAGACAAGUUGAAGGUGAAAACCUGUGGCUCAACCAUAGGCUUGCCUACAAAACUGUUGAACUAGAGUACUGGAAAGGUGGGUGGAACUACACGAGUAGAGGUGAAAUUCGUAGAUAUGUGUAGGAAUGCCGAUGAUGAAGAUAACUCACUGGACAGAAACUGACGCUGAAGUGCGAAAGCUAGGGGAGCGAACAGG